GACGAACGCUGGCGGCGUGCUUAACACAUGCAAGUCGAACGGAAAGGCCCUGCUUGCAGUGUACUCGAGUGGCGAACGGUUGAGUAACACGUGGGUGAUCUGCCCUGCACUUCGGGAUAAGCCUGGGAAACUGGGUCUAAUACCGGAUAGGAGCCAUUUUUAGUGUGAUGGUUGGAAAGUUUUUUCGGUGUAGGAUGAGCUCGCGGCCUAUCAGCUUGUUGGUGGGGUAAUGGCCUACCAAGGCGGCGACGGGUAGCCGGCCUGAGAGGGUGGACGGCCACAUUGGGACUGAGAUACGGCCCAGACUCCUACGGGAGGCAGCAGUGGGGAAUAUUGCACAAUGGGCGAAAGCCUGAUGCAGCGACGCCGCGUGGGGGAUGACGGCCUUCGGGUUGUAAACUACUUUCGCUAGGGACGAAGCUUUUUGUGACGGUACCUAGAUAAGAAGCACCGGCUAACUACGUG
This 465-nucleotide ribosomal RNA is filed under the name uncultured bacterium. Its description in RNAcentral is "partial 16S ribosomal RNA". It matches the Rfam family "Bacterial small subunit ribosomal RNA", at positions 28 to 507 of the family's 1533-position model. The record is from RNAcentral.